GCGCUUCCUUUGGCAGCACACAUACUAAAAUUGGAAUAAGUGAAUAUUAGCAUGGCCCCUGCACAAUGAUAUGCAAAUUCAUGAAAUGUUCCAUAUUUUU
This is a small nuclear RNA of Ursus americanus (American black bear), 100 nucleotides long. Lineage: Eukaryota; Metazoa; Chordata; Mammalia; Carnivora; Ursidae. The record is from Ensembl.